GGCGACGAUCAGUAGGGGUUCUGAGAGGAAGGUCCCCCACAUUGGAACUGAGACACGGUCCAAACUCCUACGGGAGGCAGCAGUGAGGAAUAUUGGUCAAUGGGCGAGAGCCUGAACCAGCCAAGUAGCGUGCAGGAUGACGGCCCUAUGGGUUGUAAACUGCUUUUAUAAGGGAAUAAAGUGAGUCUCGUGAGACUUUUUGCAUGUACCUUAUGAAUAAGGACCGGCUAAUUCCGUGCCAGCAGCCGCGGUAAUACGGAAGGUCCGGGCGUUAUCCGGAUUUAUUGGGUUUAAAGGGAGCGUAGGCCGGAGAUUAAGCGUGUUGUGAAAUGUAGACGCUCAACGUCUGCACUGCAGCGCGAACUGGUUUCCUUGAGUACGCACAAAGUGGGCGGAAUUCGUGGUGUAGCGGUGAAAUGCUUAGAUAUCACGAAGAACUCCGAUUGCGAAGGCAGCUCACUGGAGCGCAACUGACGCUGAAGCUCGAAAGUGCGGGUAUCGAACAGGAUUAGAUACCCUGGUAGUCCGCACGGUAAACGAUGGAUGCCCGCUGUUGGUCUGAAUAGGUCAGCGGCCAAGCGAAAGCAUUAAGCAUCCCACCUGGGGAGUAC
Molecule: ribosomal RNA, 611 nt
Filed under: uncultured bacterium
Lineage: Bacteria
Description: bacterial SSU rRNA
Rfam family: Bacterial small subunit ribosomal RNA
Source: RNAcentral